RNAcentral lists this ribosomal RNA (172 nucleotides) under uncultured bacterium. Its description in RNAcentral is "partial 16S ribosomal RNA". It matches the Rfam family "Bacterial small subunit ribosomal RNA", at positions 1330 to 1500 of the family's 1533-position model. The record is from RNAcentral.
AUUCGCUAGUAAUCGCGCAUCAGCCAUGGCGCGGUGAAUACGUUCCCGGGCCUUGUACACACCGCCCGUCAAACCAUGAGAGUUGGCAACACCCGAAGUCGGUAGUCUAACCGCAAGGAGGACGCCGCCGAAGGUGGGGUUGAUGAUUAGGGUUAAGUCGUAACAAGGUACC